CUCUGAAGAACCCUCCCUUUUCUGCAAUAUUAUUAUUGAAUCAAGCAGCAUAAUAGCACAAACUUUCAUAGGAUACAACUUGAUAUUCUGAAAAUAAGAUGGUGAAGUGACUGCAAUCUUCCAGAUCUCUUGAAUUGAAUUACAGCUUUUCUGUGUUGUUUGUGUUCAAGAGUUCCAAAUGAAAAGUCUAAGCUUCAUGUAGAAUAUGAUUAGCAUAGUUUAUGGAUGAACCCUUACAUAUUUUAUGAGAAAAGAAACCUAACAGGUGUCGCAAAAAAAAAAAAAAAAUUUUCAUUGGGUUAAUGGAUGGCAUGCA
Molecule: unclassified non-coding RNA, 316 nt
Filed under: Hevea brasiliensis (rubber tree)
Lineage: Eukaryota; Viridiplantae; Streptophyta; Magnoliopsida; Malpighiales; Euphorbiaceae
Source: RNAcentral